AUUGAACGCUAGCGGGAUGCUUUACACAUGCAAGUCGAACGGCAGCGCGGACUUCGGUCUGGCUGCGAGUGGCGAACGGGUGAGUAAUGUAUCGGAACGUGCCCAGUAGCGGUGGAUAACUACGCGAAAGCGUAGCUAAUACCGCAUACGCCCUACGGGGGCAAGCAGGGGAUCGUAAGACCUUGCACUAUUGGAGCGGCCGAUAUCGGAUUAGCUAGUUGGUGAGGUAACGGCUCACCAAGGCGACGAUCCGUAGCUGGUUUGAGAGGACGACCAGCCACACUGGGACUGAGACACGGCCAAGACUCCUACGGGAGGCAGCAGUGGGGAAUUUUGGACAAUGGGGGCAACCAUGAUCCAGCCAUCCCGCGUGUGCGAUGAAGGCCUUCGGGUUGUAAAGCACUUUUGGCAGGAAAGAAACGUCGCGGGCUAAUACCCCGUGGAACUGACGGUACCUGCAGAAUAAGCACCGGCUAACUACGUG
Molecule: ribosomal RNA, 484 nt
Filed under: uncultured bacterium
Lineage: Bacteria
Description: partial 16S ribosomal RNA
Rfam family: Bacterial small subunit ribosomal RNA
Source: RNAcentral